GGCUGCACUCACAGCAUAUGGAGGUUCCCAGGCUAGGGGUCCAAUCAGAGCUGUAGCCCCCAGCCUACACCACAGCCACAGCAACGCCAAGAUCCGAGCCACGUCUGCAACCUACACCACAGUGCGUGGCAACGCCAGAUCCUUAACCCACUGAGCAGGCCAGGAAUCAAACUGGCAACCUCAUGGUUCCUCGUCGGAUUUGCUUCCACUGCACCACGACGGGAACUGCUUUUCUGAAAUUUUAAAUGAUUUUUAUUUUUUCCAUUAUGGUUGGUUUACAGAGUUCUGUCAAUAUUCUACUGUACAGCAAAGUGACCCAGUCACACAUACAAAUAUACAUUCUUUUUCUCACAUUAUCCUCCAUCAUGCUCCAUCCUAAGUGACUAGAUAUAGUUCGAAGGGCUACACAGCAGGAUCUCAUUGCUGAUCCAUUCCAAAGGCAAGAGUUUGCAUCUGUUAACCCCAGACUCCCAGUCCACCCCACUCCCUCCCCCUCCCCCUUGGCAACCACAAGUCUGUUCUCCAAGUCCAUGAGUUUCUUUUCUGUGGAAAGGUUCCUUUGUGCCUUAUAUUCGAUUCCAGAUAUAAGUGAUAUCAUAUGGUAUGUGUCUUUCUCUUUCUGACUUACUUCACUCAGGAUGAGAGUCUCUAGUUCCAUCCAUGUUGCCAUUUGCAGUGACUGUUCUGUUACCUCUGUUUUUGUUUUUUGAUCCCACACAGAAGCGAAAUCAAAAAGCAUUUGCCUUUCUCUCUCCGACUUACUUCGACUGGCAUAAUGACUGAAUUUCAGUUUUUAAUGACCUUUCCAUUGUUACUAAGCUACCCGGUCAAGCCAGUUUGGCAUCUGUGGGCUUCCUGCCCGUCCCUCAGCUUUUUGUGGGAACUCAGGUGGGUGAAGCCUCAUCUAACAGAGGAGAAGCAAAGACCCCAGGAGAGGAAGGGAUCUGGCAAGGAGUCCUGGGAGUCCCUGCAGAGGCAGGACGAGAAUCAGGCCUUUGGGGGUUGGGGGAGGGGGGCAGCCCCAGCCCCUUGGGCCUCCCUGACUCGGCCUGUGGGCAGUGUGGCUCUCCUGGCCUUCUCGAAGCCUGAUGUUGUGGUGGGCCUGCUGGACGUAGGGACCUCCUCGUGGGGUCAGCAGAGCCUGGGAGGGGUCCUCUCCCCACUGUAGCCUCAGGUUCUGCUGCUCGGUCCUAAUGCUGCAGUAGGGCCUUAACUUGGUGGUGCUUGCUGGAUGUCACGGGGCUGCACAUCUGGAAUUUAAAUCCUGGAGUGCCCCGUCGCUGUGUCUACACGGGCUGGGCAAUGGGCACCUGAAGGAAAGUGCCUGUGGGGUCCCGGCGGAGACUCAGGAGAAAGAGCACAGAGGGACUGAGCCCCCGAUUCUUGUCCUGCCUCUGCAGGGACUCUCUGUUCUUAACCCGCUGAGCCACAAGGGGAACUCCCUAAGUUGGUUUAUGUCUGUGGGUCUAUUUCUGCUGUGUAUAUAAGUGUAUCUGCAUCUUUUUUUUUUUUAAGAUUUGACAUAUAAGCAGUAUCAUAGGGUAUUUGUCUUUCUCUCUCUGGUUUCCCUCGCUUAGCAUGAUACCCUCUAGGUCCAUCCAUGUUACUACAAGUGGCGUUAAUUCCUUCUUUUCUAUGGCUGAGUGACAGUCCAUAGUGUCGAGGUACCACGGCUUCUUUAUCCUCUCCUCUGCUGAGGGACACUGAGGGUGCGUCCACGUCCUGGCUACUGCAAACCACGCUGCUAAGAACACUGGGUGGAUAAUCCUGAGUCUUUCAAGGCUGCCGGAAUCACCCUAAGGUGGGCAAGGAAGGAAACACACAGCUCUCCUCAUCAGACCACCCUCUCCCUGGAUCAGGCCCCUCGCCGGGGAAGGGAAUUCUGUUCCAUGGGGCGAUGUGCUGGUUUGCGCCAGAGCCUUACACCUGGCGUUUGUCGCCCAUCUGUGAUGACCAUCUCUGCCACUCCGACUGGGAAAGACGGCUGCCCCGAAAUCCAGAAGAAAGACAUCUCCGCCCCGGGGUCAUAAAAAGCCUUUCUCCUGGUGUCAAUUCUCUCUCAUUGCAGACUUCAAAGCAGGCCACACAUGGUUGCGAUGCCUCAAGAACUUGAGGUAUGAAACACCUCCAUUUCAUACAGGCCAGCCCCCGUGAGAAUGACCUCGCAAGUUCAGCCCGCAGCUUCCGAUGCCCUUGAUACUCCUGGAAACCAACCUCUUGCCAUAUGGCAUGUUUUCGGGUGAGAUCAGCCAUAGCAGGCUGCGGGCUGCGGGCUGCAGCAACUUUUCUUCUAAUUCCACCUUUUCUGGAGCCUCACUCAAUAUCCCUCUCAGCUCUACCAUGCCCCGUUCAUGGGUGGCGAAAUCACGGUAGAGUGGUGUGUAACUUGCCUAUGGCGACAAGAGACCAAGGAGCCCUGACCUGGCCUGCUGCGCCUUCCACCAGGCUCUGCCAGCCAGUCGCCUCCUCUCACCCUGCCCCACGAGGCGCUGCAGGCUUGUCUAAGAGCCACACAUCCCCGUUUCUUCUGGAAUAGGGCGUUCAGGGUCCCACACCCAAAAGCGGCCCCCUCAAUUUUCCUUCCUUACAAAAUGGAACCCUGAUGGUCCCACGGCUCCUUUCUUCUGAGAUCAAAGGCCUUCGCAUACUCUCCCAUUCAUUUAUAUAAUCAGUCUAAUAUAUAAAGUGGGCCCAGGGCAUCGUUACCCCUAUUUCAGAAAUGAAACAAAGGGCAGAGAGAAAGAGGAAGGGUACCGCCCCAGGUCCCGUGAACGGCUCUGUCACCCAAGGUCCUACAAACCGUUGGCGUCAAACUCCCGGAGGCCCAAGUCCCUUCCCAUGUCCGGUAUUCUGAUUCACAAACGACACGAGGGAGCGACGAGGGGACAGUUCGGUUACAAGGUCAUCCGAGACGCAGAGAUCACAAGGCCAUGAAAAGCCACUGAGUAUCUGUGUGCUCCCCAGCGCCUGCCUCCCAGGUGGAGGCACCUCGACGUGGCCCGCUGACAACAUCACAGGCCCGAGGAGCAGGCAGGUUCACCUUAUGAGAUUUAUGGCUGCAUCACCACCCCUGGAAGUGAGCGUGCCUUUCUUUCAGGAGUCCACAGAUGUCACCUGAUCCUGAGUCCCCCUGAGGCUGAAAGCAGCAAGCAUUUCACUGGGUCCAUAAUUUGAAAAUGGAAAAGAUCAAGACAAUAUUCUACCCAAACCCACAGAGCAGGUGCCCUGAAGUCUGAGCAUCUGCCACCAUCAGCGUUCUGCCACCAGAUCAUCCAUGGUGGCAAAAAGAUCCAAACCAGCACUUCUCAGGACAGCCCCAAUGUCCUGGGACGCCACAAGUAGAGAACCAGGGGCCAAGGUGGUGGGGGGUGCGCUGGAGCUAAGACUAAGAAACAAUUCAGUCCAUAGGCUAAAGCACCAAGUCUGUAGGCUUUCGUUUCUGGAGGCCUGAGGAGUCCAGGGACUUCAUCACCCCUGGGCACUCAGACCCUGACCUGGACCCCCUUCCCCUUCCAGGUGCCCAGGAGGAUGCUGGGUAAUUCUUGGGCAGUGCCCAGAGUCUGCCCAGGGUCUGGGGGACCAGGAGAGAAGAGCUAAGGUGAGGCAGGCCCUGCAAAGGCAAGGAGAAUUUGGGAAGUUCCCUGGGGCACAGCAGGUUAAGGAUCUGGCAUGGUCACUGUAGCAGCCUGGGUCACUGCUGUGGUACAGGUUCAGUCCCUGGCCCAGGAACUUCCACAUGCCAAGGGCACAGGCAAAAAAAUUUUAAAAGGCAAGGAGAAUUCUUGUUCACCUUUGUAUUCCCAGGACCCAGCAAGGGCUGGUACCCAGACUGCUCAGGGUGAUGCGUGCAGAAAAACAGACGGAGGCAGGGAGAGAACCAGGCUGUCACACAGGACACAGGGCUAUGAGGACAUGGCUUCUCCUGCUUUUUCAGCCUUCACUCUUUCUUCCUGCUUCGCUAAAGAAACAUUUAAUGAGCAGUUACUAUAUGCCAAGAACUGUGCAGGGUCCCAGAUAAAGGGAGGAGGGAUAAAUGGGGACAGAGGGACGAGUAAAUAUUUACUGCCGUCUAUGUGCCAGACACAGCCUUGGGUGCAGACUGAUGCUAACUCCCAGGGAACUCGGUUUGCUUUUAAAAAAACAGAACACUUCGCAGCAAAUCACAGUGAAUACAAGUGAGUCUGGAGGAAGAAGUGGGGAGGGGGGCAUCUCUGGGGGGUGGGGAGACGGGGUGGGGAAGGCUGCGAAGGCGGGGAGGCAGCAACGCCUCGUUCACAGGUACAGAGACAACACCUCUGCGGGGGUGACACCACCAACCGAAAGUCAGACCGAGAAGGAGGUGGGAGGCGAGCAGGUGCGAAUCUGUGUUCCCUUCACUAAGAAGAGGAAAAUGUGUCAGCUUUCCUCACAGGAAAAAAGCUUUCUUUCCUUUUCUUUCUUUCCUUUUUUUUUUUUUUUUUUUUUUUUGCUCUCCCCUGCAGCUUUCGCCUCCACAGAAGCCCAGGCAGGUGAGUCAGACACCGUGUCCCCUGAAAGCACAAGCUCCAGCCCAUGUGCCAUCUCCCCAUCUUUAAACUUCAGGAACCAAUUCAAAGUUGUGACCAACACGGCGUGGGCUGUGGUUUGUCACCUGAAAUCAACACCCAUCCCCUCCAUGAGAGACACAGGUGAGGGGACAGACUCCACAGAGGAGGGGGCGGAGGGGGACAAGAGGGACGAGAGGGUCGAGGUGACAGACAUUUCAGGGGUGUCCUGGAGCCCACUUUCUGUCACGAAGCACGGUGUGGGGAUGGAUAAAGCUGGAGCAGUGCCAGCCAGAACCGAGGGGGCGGUUUGCAGGUGCGGCCCCUGGGCGGUGGUAUCCUGCACACCACAGUGAGGGGACAUGAAGUCUCCAGCCAGUGGCCCCUGCUGCUUGCAUCUCUUGGCCUCAACUUCUUUCCACUACUUCCUAUCUUAACGAAAUCAAACUCACAUACCUCGAACAGGGAGAACACGAUCUAGUGGAAGAUAGUGUGGCCCAGAGGCGACUACACUACACUCUGUGGGUGGAGGCCGGAGGCAGGGCCCUUUCUCACGCGCAGCGCUGGCCCCCGAGGGGAGGCUGCAGAGACAUCACAGUGGGGACCUCAGGGCAGCCCUCCAGAUGUGUCCUCAACAGAGGGGGGAGAAACAAGAUGUCCUGGGUU
This 5189-nucleotide long non-coding RNA is filed under the name Sus scrofa (pig). Its description in RNAcentral is "lncRNA (ENSSSCG00000052588.1)". Lineage: Eukaryota; Metazoa; Chordata; Mammalia; Artiodactyla; Suidae. The record is from RNAcentral.